Long non-coding RNA from Oncorhynchus tshawytscha (Chinook salmon), 3501 nucleotides. Lineage: Eukaryota; Metazoa; Chordata; Actinopteri; Salmoniformes; Salmonidae. The record is from Ensembl.
UUUUAUUCUUUGAUUGCUAAUCUAUUCAUUUGGCAUGUGAGAAUCAUAGCCGAAGUAACGCUUGGACCUUUAAAUUAGGUCUAUUUUUCUGGGAAUUGCCGAUAGUGACGUGUCUUGAUUUUACGAAUACAGACAAUUGUAAAGUGGGUUUAUUUGCGGACAGUCUUAGUCAUUCAAAUAGCAUUGGUGGUUCAGUGGUAGAAUUCUUGCCUGCCACGCGGGAGGCUCGGGUUUGGUUCCCAGCCAAUGCGCUUACUAAAAUCAGAGUUUUUGAUUGUAAUUAAACUAUUGUAUGUUUUGCCUCGAAAGACACAGUCGCUAGUGUUUGGUGAAGAUAUAAACGGAACGUUUUAAAUAGUUUGUUUGGUUCAAAUUGAAAGACUAAUUCAUUCAACUUAAAAUAAUAGCGAAGCGAAUUUUGAUGCAAGACGAUGUCUGUUGCCUAAAGGAUCUGCUGGAAUAAUGUAUUGAGAAUUGAGUCGUAUUUAAAUUACUGUAUCAAUAGAGGAGACAGUUACCUAAAUUAAAGAAAUUGUAAAUAGUAGCGGAGAGAUAAUGGCGAUAGAGUGGUGCCCACCGAAAUGUUUUUCAUUCUUAUAGAUUGACUGGCACGUGAUAAUUUUGGCGCUGUGUGUGUUAUUUUUAAAGUCUUGGACAUCCCAUAAGUGUGAAGAGGAAAGAGAAGAGAAAGUUGUAAAGUUUGGUUUUAAUCUUACGAUAGAGGGUAUUCCAGACAUGGGAAGCUCUCACACUGAAAGCAGAUUGACUUAAGGAUUCCUUCUUCCGGGACAGAUGGAAGUUAUCUAAAAUAUGCCUGGACUGUGAGCCAGCUCAUCUAGGUGAGUGUAUGGCGUGUUCUGGUUUGUCUGCUCUGCUACGCGCAGAUCCACCCGAUUGCGACGAUAGAGGGAGCCACCAACAUCCACCAGGGGAUAUAGGUCUAACUUCCUGAUCCUUGGCUCUACGAUGGAGUUGACAGUGUGAUGGGGAGUAUAAGCCAAUUUGAAAGAAUAGUUUCAAUAGAAUGUGUGGAUAUUCUCUUUGAAAUAUGUUUAGAUAUGUGUAUUAAGAAUAAUUGGUAAAAGUAAUAAUUUAUCAUGUAGUUAAUGAACUGAACUAAACUGUUGUUCUUUCGAGGUUAUCAUGAAAAGUGACAUCAGACGGUAUCUUAAUGCAUGGAAGAGAUAUUUGGACCGAAGAGGGGGUUUUGAGGUACACACACAUAACUGGCUGAAGAAGAAUGACAAAGGCGUUGAAUAAGGCCCUUCCGAACCACUUCUACCGAGAGAAAGGAACCAAGCCAGAAAUCGGUGUACAGUAUCCGAUCUAAGCUAUCAACUGCUUUUCUCUUAUGUUUCUCUCAGGAGUGUGAGAGGAGUCCACGUAGAGUGAGCAUGGAGAGAGAUCUGUUCUAAACUUUUCUUAUGUUGCGGGAAUACUGGUUGAUGAAUGGACAAGACAUAAUGAGUGGUAAAGAUGAGACAUUGAAAUUGAAACAUUAUCAUGGGCCAUCCACUUUGAACUGUAAAGUUAUCUGAAGAAGAAGGAAAAGGACGCCAGAAGAAUCAGUGCCUGAGGGAGUGGGUUGGUCAACUGUGCCAAUAAAAUUGUUUUAGACUUUUGUGGUAUCAGGUUGAUUGUAGAGGUUUACGCCAUGUAAAAUUAUAGUCAUUUAGAUUAAGAAUGCACUGAGAUACUGAUCUGUAUUAUAAUUGUGAUUUAAAAAGUUAAUAGUAGAAUUAUGGGAUAAUUAUUGAAUGUUAAUAUGAAUGUAAUUCUGCUAAAAUUGAUGUGUGUUAAAUUGAGUUUUUUACUUUGAGUGAUAAGACCAAUUUGAAUCACUGAGGAAUGUCAUUCUAAAUUUUGGUUGGAUAAAUAGUUGGGUUGUUAAUUAUGAUUUGGAAUAUGAAUGAUUUCCCUGACCUAUUCCUGACCACAUCUCUGAGCAUGAGGGAUGACUGUCCUAUAUGUUGUGAUGAGGCCUGUGUUUAGACACUGGUUCUCAUGUAACUUAGGAAGCAUUUUUAUGUUUUUGUUUUUAUUUUUCUCAACAAUGGAAUAGUCUGUGUGAUUAAACCUGUGCAAGUUUGUCUUGUAGAAUAAAGGUUGUAAACUUAGUUUCAGAAGGGAGAAAGCUUAUAUAUAAGCUAGGGAUUUUGACAUUGAAGGGAUUUUAUUUGUUAUUUUAUUUUAAAUAUUGAGUAUGUAGUUAGUAAUGUUCUGAUUCUCCAAAAGGGACAAUGUCCCUUGAGAGGGUAAUGUCGUGGCUGAAUCAGAAUUAGUUAGCUAACAUUGAUAAAUAAGAUGUUUUAUUUACCUAAUAAUGCUUAUGUGAGAUUAGUCAUUAGGAUGUUUUCUUUUGGAUAAUACUGUUGGCAGCUGCAUUUUCCCCUCUUCUCCAGGGCUUAGUCAUUAGGGGCCCAGAGAGGGGAGAGGUCAGGCUUGUCUUCAUAUGUCAAUAUAGCUGUUAAACCAUGUGAUGCUAUGAAGAAUAUCAGAAGGGGAGGAGGACAGAAUGGAGGCUUGUCAUCUUAUGGGAAUGUGUCUGUAACUAUUGUAUGUCCCCUCUGAGGUUGCCCUUAUCUUGAUUUAGUAUAUCACCUAAGAGGCUCACUGUCUUUUCUGAUCUUGUCCAGGAGGGGUUGUAUUUGAGAUGGAAGUAUCUAGAAUUUACCAUUGAUAUAUGUCAUUGGAUGAGGUAAUGGUUUGGUACUAUGUUGUACCAAGAACGAGAUUAGAACUUCGUUUAAGAGACCAAACUGAACGAUAAUUUAUAGUUAAUGCUGUCUGGCUAUGGGAUACUCCUCAAGUAAAGUCUUCCUUUGUAAUGUUCCUAAGAUCUGUUAUUUGUCAUGGGAGUUGAGAGGGGUGUGUCUUGGCUAUAAAUGAUACUAAGAAUUGUUUUGUAAGCACUCUCAGAGAAAUCAUUUAUAGACACUGAAUUGAUCUGAGAGUCACAGGGCUAUGGUGAAGCUCAUAUAUAAUUAAAGAUGGACUUUAUAAUAUACUCUAACUUGUGUGUGGUUUGCUCUCUCAAUGUUUAGUAAUACAGGAAAUUACCACGACAAUAUCGCAAAAAAAAACGCAUAAUAGCACAAUUGGUUAGGAGACCGUAAAACGGUGGCCAUCUCCUCCAGCGCCAUUACCCCAUGGGGAGGGGGGUCACACUCAGACAUUCAGAGAGGAGGCAUAUUAUUGUGGCCCUGGUGGCACAAAAUCAUCUGUCUGACUGCACGGACAUGCUUGGGAAUAUGGUCACAAUGGGGGUCCAGCGUGUGUGUUUCAGGGGAAGGAGGUAUAUCUGAUCUCCAUCAUCCUGGACAUGACAAAUUUGCCCAUUUUUGCAGGCCUUCUCAUACAGCUGCAACUGGAUAUGCAUUUGUAAAUAAAGACCUUUCUUGAGUUGGGCUCUGGGAUGGUGUAACUGUUGAGAAUCUGUAUUACAACUGGCCGUAAUUGGGAGUCCCAUAGGGCGUUGCACAAUUGGGAGUUGCACAAAGG